GUGAGGAAUAUUGGGCAAUGGGCGAAAGCCGACCCAGCCACGCCGCGUGAGUGAUGAAGGCCUUCGGGUUGUAAAGCUCUGUGGGGAGGGAAGAAAAAGCGGGAGAGUAACUGCUCUCGUGUUGACGGUACCUCCUUAGCAAGCACCGGCUAACUCUGUGCCAGCAGCCGCGGUAAUACAGAGGGUGCAAACGUUGCUCGGAAUUACUGGGCGUAAAGCGCGUGUAGGCUGACAUGCAAGUCGGGUGUGAAAUCCCAGGGCUCAACCUUGGAACUGCACUCGAAACUGCACGUCUUGAGUACUGGAGAGGGAAGCGGAAUUCCGGGUGUAGAGGUGAAAUUCGUAGAUAUCCGGAGGAACACCAGUGGCGAAGGCGGCUUCCUGGACAGUAACUGACGCUGAGACGCGAAAGCGUGGGGAGCAAACAGGAUUAGAAACCCUUGUAGUCC
Molecule: ribosomal RNA, 449 nt
Filed under: uncultured bacterium
Lineage: Bacteria
Description: partial 16S ribosomal RNA
Rfam family: Bacterial small subunit ribosomal RNA
Source: RNAcentral